GAGCCUUCUUCAGUAGAUCACUCUCUUUCCUCUCCGAGCUUUCUAUAGUAUAGGUUCUGCAAUCGUCUUUGCUCUUCCCAAAAGCUCCAAAAAUCAGAUGUUAUCUCUCUGUCUAAAAGACUCCAUUUGCAACCUAAAAAGUAGUAUCAAAUUUGACAUGACGAUAAAGUAAUGAAGAAAUCCAACGAAGACCUAGUUGACUUCUUACAAAUGAGCAAAUUUCUUGGUUUCGUCCAGAUGGCCUCAAAGGAUGUUUUUUGAGAGGCCGCAACGUCUUAGAGGUGUGAGCAGUCUACAAUGAGGUAUUAUUCUAGAGAUUUUUCCCUUUUGUCCUUCGUCCUCCAUCACCGCUGGCUUCAGUAGAAAAAAAUAAUUUAAGCAAUUAGUGGUACUAGAAGAAACUUAAUGGGAAUGGAAAAGGGCUAUGUGAAGAAAACUCUUUAGUAAUGCAUUUAUGUUCUGUCAA
Nicotiana attenuata is the source of this 466-nucleotide long non-coding RNA. RefSeq lists it as uncharacterized. NCBI's taxonomy places the organism in Eukaryota, Viridiplantae, Streptophyta, Magnoliopsida, Solanales, Solanaceae. The transcript has 3 exons. The record is from RefSeq and is a predicted model, not a curated record.